UGGGGAAUAUUGCACAAUGGGGGAAACCCUGAUGCAGCGACGCCGCGUGAACGAAGAAGGUAUUCGUAUCGUAAAGUUCUGUCCUAUGGGAAGAUAAUGACAGUACCAUAGAAGAAAGCUCCGGCUAAAUACGUGCCAGCAGCCGCGGUAAUACGUAUGGAGCGAGCGUUGUCCGGAAUUAUGGGCGUAAAGGGUACGCAGGCGGUUUAAUAAGUCGAAUGUUAAAGAUCGGGGCUCAACCCCGCAAAGCAUUGGAAACUGAUAAACUUGAGUAGUGGAGAGGAAAGUGGAAUUCCUAGUGUAGUGGUGAAAUACGUAGAUAUUAGGAGGAAUACCAGUAGCGAAGGCGACUUUCUGGACACAAACUGACGCUGAGGUACGAAAGCGUGGGGAGCAAACAGG
RNAcentral lists this ribosomal RNA (402 nucleotides) under bacterium. Its description in RNAcentral is "partial 16S ribosomal RNA". It matches the Rfam family "Bacterial small subunit ribosomal RNA", at positions 355 to 776 of the family's 1533-position model. The record is from RNAcentral.